This is a long non-coding RNA of Corythoichthys intestinalis (scribbled pipefish), 274 nucleotides long. RefSeq lists it as uncharacterized. The transcript has 3 exons. Lineage: Eukaryota; Metazoa; Chordata; Actinopteri; Syngnathiformes; Syngnathidae. The record is from RefSeq and is a predicted model, not a curated record.
AAUACAUGAUUCAACUGAGUAAAAAUACCAGCACUGUGAUCAUCAGAGCAAGUCCAUCAGGUGACAUUCUUUUUCACCUCUGUCUCCUUUCACUUUGAAGGUUCCCAUGUUUGAGGAAGCAUUUGGUGUUGCUGUGCAAAGUGUUGCUGCAGUGGAGGUUCAAGGUUACUGUUUAUUGAUAUGGAUCCCAUCAUACUUUGUUCAUUGUUUGUUCAGGAGUUUGCCCUAAGUCUCCGUGUUUGAGGGCCUAUUCUGUGGAUAUAUUUAUUUGCAC